Molecule: microRNA precursor, 203 nt
Organism: Oryza sativa Indica Group (long-grained rice)
Lineage: Eukaryota; Viridiplantae; Streptophyta; Magnoliopsida; Poales; Poaceae
Rfam family: MIR812 microRNA precursor family
Source: Rfam
AAAAAGACAAACCCUGGGUUUCCGUGCCAACGUUUAAAUGUCCGUCUUAUAUAAAUUUUUUUUAUAAUUAGUAUUUUUAUUGUUGUUAGAUGAUAAAACAUGAUUAAUACUUUAUGCGCGAUUUAUCUUUUUAAUUUUUUUUUAUUUUUUCAAAUAAGACGGACGGUCAAACGUUGGACACGGAAACCAGGGUUUGUCUUUUU